AAGUUCAGAGCUGAACUAUAGCAGGAGAGCUCUCAGGCAUCUACACCUUGCUCUUGAGCAUGGCUUACAUUUUCCUGAUUUUUUCCAGGGUAGCAGAAGGCACAUAAAUGAACUGUUGCCCUGGCAGCUGCAAAGUGGGCUGCCACAGUACUUCCCUGGCAUGUGUGGGGAGGUGGACAAACCCUACUUGACUGCCGUCAUUAUUAAAUGCAGAAAGAGAAAAUAGUAACAGGUCAUACUAUCGAGCCACUCUCAACCUGGCAGAUCGCUUCACCAGAGCAAGGACACAAGACAAGCCACAGAGAGAAUGUGGAAGGACCUGGAUCUAUUCUUCAAAGAUGUAAUCAUCAAGAGAGAUAGCACCCCAUCUCCAAGUCUCUGUGAGAAGACAGAGGCCUACCUUCAUAAGCAACAAUUCGCCAACACAAUGUGCCUAAUCAC
Molecule: long non-coding RNA, 441 nt
Filed under: Mustela putorius furo (domestic ferret)
Lineage: Eukaryota; Metazoa; Chordata; Mammalia; Carnivora; Mustelidae
Description: lncRNA (ENSMPUG00000031904.1)
Source: RNAcentral